GAUGAACGCUGGCGGCGUGCCUAAUACAUGCAAGUCGAGUGAACAGACGAGGAGCUUGCUCCUCUGACGUUAGCGGCGGACGGGUGAGUAACACGUGGAUAACCUACCUAUAAGACUGGGAUAACUUCGGGAAACCGGAGCUAAUACCGGAUAAUAUAUUGAACCGCAUGGUUCAAUAGUGAAAGACGGUUUUGCUGUCACUUAUAGAUGGAUCCGCGCCGCAUUAGCUAGUUGGUAAGGUAACGGCUUACCAAGGCAACGAUGCGUAGCCGACCUGAGAGGGUGAUCGGCCACACUGGAACUGAGACACGGUCCAGACUCCUACGGGAGGCAGCAGUAGGGAAUCUUCCGCAAUGGGCGAAAGCCUGACGGAGCAACGCCGCGUGAGUGAUGAAGGUCUUCGGAUCGUAAAACUCUGUUAUUAGGGAAGAACAAAUGUGUAAGUAACUAUGCACGUCUUGACGGUACCUAAUCAGAAAGCCACGGCUAACUAUGUG
RNAcentral lists this ribosomal RNA (497 nucleotides) under uncultured bacterium. RNAcentral's name for it is "partial 16S ribosomal RNA". It matches the Rfam family "Bacterial small subunit ribosomal RNA", at positions 28 to 507 of the family's 1533-position model. The record is from RNAcentral.